Molecule: ribosomal RNA, 468 nt
Filed under: uncultured bacterium
Lineage: Bacteria
Description: partial 16S ribosomal RNA
Rfam family: Bacterial small subunit ribosomal RNA
Source: RNAcentral
GACGAACGCUGGCGGCGUGCUUAACACAUGCAAGUCGAACGGAAAGGCCCUGCUUUUGUGGGGUGCUCGAGUGGCGAACGGGUGAGUAACACGUGAGUAACCUGCCCUUGACUUUGGGAUAACUUCAGGAAACUGGGGCUAAUACCGGAUAGGAGCUCCUGCUGCAUGGGGGGGGUUGGAAAGUUUCGGCGGUUGGGGAUGGACUCGCGGCUUAUCAGCUUGUUGGUGGGGGAGUGGCUUACCAAGGCUUUGACGGGUAGCCGGCCUGGGAGGGUGGCCGGCGACAUGGGGACUGAGAUACGGCCCAGACUCCUACGGGAGGCAGCAGUGGGGAAUAUUGCACAAUGGGCGGAAGCCUGAUGCAGCAACGCCGCGUGCGGGAUGACGGCCUUCGGGUUGGAAACCGCUUUCGCCUGUGACGAAGCGUGAGUGACGGUAAUGGGUAAAGAAGCACCGGCUAACUACGUG